UGAACGCUGGCGGCGUGCCUAAUACAUGCAAGUCGAACGAUGAAGCUUUUAGCUUGCUAGAAGUGGAUUAGUGGCGCACGGGUGAGUAAUGCAUAGGUUAUGUGCCCUUUAGUCUAGGAUAGCCACUGGAAACGGUGAUUAGUACUGGAUACUCCCUACGGGGGAAAGUUUUUCGCUAAAGGAUUGGUCUAUGUCCUAUCAGCUUGUUGGUGAGGUAAUGGCUCACCAAGGCUAUGACGGGUAUCCGGCCUGAGAGGGUGAACGGACACACUGGAACUGAGACACGGUCCAGACUCCUACGGGAGGCAGCAGUAGGGAAUAUUGCUCAAUGGGGGAAACCCUGAAGCAGCAACGCCGCGUGGAGGAUGAAGGUUUUCGGAUUGUAAACUCCUUUUGUUAGAGAAGAUAAUGACGGUAUCUAACGAAUAAGCACCGGCUAACUCCGUGCCAGCAGCCGCGGUAAUACGGAGGGUGCAAGCGUUACUCGGAGUCACUGGGCGUAAAGAGCGCGUAGGCGGGAUAGCAAGUCAGAUGUGAAAUCCUAUGGCUUAACCAUAGAACUGCAUUUGAAACUGUUAUUCUAGAGUAUGGGAGAGGUAGGUGGAAUUCUUGGUGUAGGGGUAAAAUCCGUAGAGAUCAAGAGGAAUACUCAUUGCGAAGGCGACCUGCCAGAACAUAACUGACGCUGAUGCGCGAAAGCGUGGGGAGCAAACAGGAUUAGAUACCCUGGUAGUCCGCGCCCUAAACGAUGAAUGCUAGUUGUUGUGGAGCUUGUCUCUGCAGUAAUGCAGCUAACGCAUUAAGCAUUCCGCCUGGGGAGUACGGUCGCAAGAUUAAAACUCAAAGGAAUAGACGGGGACCCGCACAAGCGGUGGAGCAUGUGGUUUAAUUCGAGGAUACACGAAGAACCUUACCUAGGCUUGACAUUGAUAGAAUCCGCUAGAGAUAGUGGAGUGCUAGCUUGCUAGAACUUGAAAACAGGCGCUGCACGGCUGUCGUCAGCUCGUGUCGUGAGAUGUUGGGUUAAGUCCCGCAACGAGCGCAACCCUCGUCCUUAGUUGCUAGCAGUUCGGCUGAGCACUCUAAGGAGACUGCCUUCGUAAGGAGGAGGAAGGUGAGGACGACGUCAAGUCAUCAUGGCCCUUACGCCUAGGGCUACACACGUGCUACAAUGGGGCGCACAAAGAGGAGCAAUACCGCGAGGUGGAGCAAAUCUCUAAAACGUCUCUCAGUUCGGAUUGUAGUCUGCAACUCGACUACAUGAAGCUGGAAUCGCUAGUAAUCGUGAAUCAGCCAUGUCACGGUGAAUACGUUCCCGGGUCUUGUACUCACCGCCCGUCACACCAUGGGAGUUGUAUUCGCCUUAAGUCGGGAUACUAA
Molecule: ribosomal RNA, 1380 nt
Filed under: uncultured Helicobacter sp.
Lineage: Bacteria; Pseudomonadati; Campylobacterota; Epsilonproteobacteria; Campylobacterales; Helicobacteraceae
Description: 16S ribosomal RNA
Rfam family: Bacterial small subunit ribosomal RNA
Source: RNAcentral